RNAcentral lists this ribosomal RNA (418 nucleotides) under uncultured bacterium. Its description in RNAcentral is "bacterial SSU rRNA". It matches the Rfam family "Bacterial small subunit ribosomal RNA", at positions 358 to 773 of the family's 1533-position model. The record is from RNAcentral.
GGAAUAUUGGUCAAUGGACGGAAGUCUGAACCAGCCAUGCCGCGUGCAGGAAGACGGCCUUCUGGGUUGUAAACUGCUUUUAACAGGGAAGAAUAAGCUUCUUGCGAGAGGUGAUGCCGGUACCUGAAGAAUAAGCACCGGCUAACUCCGUUCCAGCAGCCGCGGUAAUACGGAGGGUGCGAGCGUUGUCCGGAUUUAUUGGGUUUAAAGGGUGCGUAGGCGGCUUUUUAAGUCAGUGGUGAAAUGUAUCAGCUUAACUGAUGACGUGCCAUUGAAACUGGAGGGCUUGAGUACAGACGAGGUAGGCGGAAUUUAUGGUGUAGCGGUGAAAUGCAUAGAUACCAUAAAGAACACCGAUAGCGAAGGCAGCUUACUAGGCUGAGACUGACGCUGAUGCACGAAAGCGUGGGGAGCGAAC